UACGGAGGGUGCAAGCGUUGUCCGGAUUCAUUGGGUUUAAAGGGUGCGCAGGCGGGACAUUAAGUCAGGGGUGAAAGACGGUUGCUCAACAAUCGCAGUGCCUUUGAUACUGGUGUUCUUGGGUGACCUUGAGGUAGGCGGAAUGGGUGGUGUAGCGGUGAAAUGCAUAGAUACCACCCAGAACUCCGAUUGCGAAGGCAGCCUACUGGAGGUUUACCGAACGCUCGAG
RNAcentral lists this ribosomal RNA (229 nucleotides) under uncultured bacterium. RNAcentral's name for it is "partial 16S ribosomal RNA". It matches the Rfam family "Bacterial small subunit ribosomal RNA", at positions 524 to 751 of the family's 1533-position model. The record is from RNAcentral.